This is a long non-coding RNA of Aquila chrysaetos chrysaetos, 757 nucleotides long. RefSeq lists it as uncharacterized. The transcript is spliced from 5 exons. The record is from RefSeq and is a predicted model, not a curated record. Lineage: Eukaryota; Metazoa; Chordata; Aves; Accipitriformes; Accipitridae.
AGUGACUGAGGAGGUUGUAGGUGGCAGGCAGACAGUGAUGGAGGGAAAGCUGAUGAUGAAUUGAAUGAGAAUUGGGAUUGCUUUGGCAGAAAAGAAUGAAAUUGGACUGAAAGGGGCUGACUUUGCGAUGGUGCUCUGCCAGUGCCGUUUUCUUGACUGAACUCUAAUCCUCCAAGAGCAGUUCGGUGCCAGUUGAUUCGUGUCAGAGAUCUCUGCACACAAACCAGUACAGAAGUCACAAAGCGAGACAGAGCUGGAGCAGAAACUUAAUAGUCCCCAACACAGUGGUUGUAGUUGUGACUGAGCUGUCACAAACGAGAUGGCCAGUCGUGGUGGCAUCACGGGAUUCAGAAACACACGCACAGCAUUGGGAGAGGAGCCCAGAGUUUCAACAGCAGAUUUCUCAUUCUCCACACCCUGUGCCAAAGCAGAUGGGCAGAGGAAGCUUGGCGAGUAAACUGCAUGCUUGACAUUACGGAGCAAGGCUGCAGCAGAACAAUUUCUGGAUGCCAACCCAGGGCCCCAGUCCUGAAACCAGCCCUUUCCUUCUGGACACCUAUCACAUAGCAAGAAGCUUCAUCCACAACGUGGGAAUCCCAGGCAUAAUUUCCUCUUCUAAGAGUAGGAAUGUGUGCGUCCUAGAUACACGCUGUAACUACCAAAUAACAGGUUCUAUCCUGGGGAGGUGCUUCACGCCCAAAAUAAAACAGGGACACUUGGCAAGAGACAAGAUUUGGUGAGGGAAUCAGAAGCUGUC